Non-coding RNA from Pelobates cultripes (western spadefoot toad), 207 nucleotides. The record is from the annotation of a GenBank genome assembly. NCBI's taxonomy places the organism in Eukaryota, Metazoa, Chordata, Amphibia, Anura, Pelobatidae.
UUAGUUUACUUAAAGGGACACUGUAGUCACUAUAAACACUUUGUCUCUUUGAAUUGGUUAUAGUGCCUGGAGUGCCCUGGCACUGUCUCUCCAUUCAGUGUUGCACCAUGUUUGUGCAGUAUGCCACAAAAUAAGAGUCCCUGGCCACCCAUAGUCCGGCCCCUUCUGUAUGUGUAGCUAAGGCAGAGAUUACACACUUCCUUGUUG